GCCCAGGUGGCGAAAUUGGCAAACGCAGUGGUUUCCAAAACUACCGUUUCGCACGGACUUACGGGUUCGAAUCCCGUUCUGGGCA
RNAcentral lists this transfer RNA (85 nucleotides) under Rhodopirellula sp. SM50. Its description in RNAcentral is "tRNA-Trp". It matches the Rfam family "tRNA". Rfam says of the family: Transfer RNA (tRNA) molecules are approximately 80 nucleotides in length. Their secondary structure includes four short double-helical elements and three loops (D, anti-codon, and T loops). Lineage: Bacteria; Pseudomonadati; Planctomycetota; Planctomycetia; Pirellulales; Pirellulaceae. RNAcentral also lists the same sequence under 1 other name. The record is from RNAcentral.